GGUGACGGGAGGAGGUCAAGGCCCGGGUAGACAGCCUGGGCAAGCCUUACUGUGUGCUGGUAGAGGGGCCAGCAUGGCUGGAGCUGCUCCAAUGGAAGGGCCAGGGCGGCCGGGCUGUAGGACCCUUCCAUUCCUCCUGGUGGUCUUGCAAGCCCAAGACCCUUCUGCAAGGACAGGCCCAUCCUCCUUCCACCUGCAAUGGUGAACUUGCAAGUCCCUGCUCGGUGGCUUUACUGGGGCUGUGGUGGGGACUGUCCUGUACUGGGGACAAGGAGAGAAGGGAUCAACCUCCCUGAAGAGCAUUGUCCACACACAGCACCGGACUCCCUCCUGUGACUGCUGGUGAAGAGAGUGUUCCCAAAGCCCUUGUUAGGACAACACCCAAAGAGACCUCUGAUCCCUGUGAGACAGUGGUGGAAUGGACAGAGUGUAUCACUGAUCUACUGUUGACCUGUGAGUAUUCACGUUCAAGGUAAGAACUGUUCUAAAUGCAGUCUGUGAUACAAGUCCCGUGCACUUUAUGUUGCAAAAUUCCACCAACCCAUUGAGAUAUAAACUCAUAUCUAAUGUGGCAUGAGAAAACCACUGUAAUAAAUGAUAAUGUGAAACCUACUAAUUUUAUCUAUAAAUACCAUAAUUAAAAUGUUUUGUAUAGUUAAGUAAAGAAAUAAUAGAUUGGUUGGUGAUGAUAGAAAGCACAUGUGGUAGAUAAUCAAGCAUAACUUAAAACUUUUUAAGACAAAAGCAGUCAUAAAAAUUUAACUAGCAAUGCUACAAGGAGAAGAGAAGUUAGGUGAAUUAUCACUCCAAGCUUUACAGAAGUGUUUGGGUACUAGGAUUCAUAAGAGUAAACACAAUAAUCUUAGUAACCAUACUUAAAGUUCUCUUGUUUAAUUCUAUUUAGGCCACAGGUCUACCAAGAAAAAUAUCCUACUUGAGAAUUCACAUGUUAAAGCAAAAUGCCCAUUUUUUUUUCCAUCUCAAAAGUAAUGAAAAGACAAGAUGCCAAAAUCAAGAUCCUGAGCCUGCACUGUGCACACCUGAUCUACCACAGAGAGACGGGCAUGAAAGCGAGUCUCAGGCACUACUGUCAGCUAAGGUCAGUGGAGGAAGCAAGUCUCUGUGGGAGGCUCACUCUUCUGUAGCUCACGGCAAACCCAGGGCAGGACAGCGGGACCAGGGCUGAUAGCACUGAGCAUGCUCUUCCUGCAACACAGUGCCAAGCUUCAAGAUUUUA
Molecule: long non-coding RNA, 1237 nt
Filed under: Marmota monax (woodchuck)
Lineage: Eukaryota; Metazoa; Chordata; Mammalia; Rodentia; Sciuridae
Source: RNAcentral